GGAUGCGAUCAUACCAGCACUAAAGCACCGGAUCCCAUCAGAACUCCAAAGUUAAGUGUGCUUUGGCGAGAGUAGUACUAGGAUGGGUGACCUCCUGGGAAGUCCUCGUGUUGCAUUCC
Molecule: non-coding RNA, 119 nt
Organism: Triticum aestivum (bread wheat)
Lineage: Eukaryota; Viridiplantae; Streptophyta; Magnoliopsida; Poales; Poaceae
Source: Rfam